CACGUAGGGCGCAAGCGUUGUCCGGAAUUAUUGGGCGUAAAGAGCUCGUAGGCGGUCUGUUACGUCUGCUGUGAAAACCCUGGGCUUAACCCUGGGCUUGCAGUGGAUACGGGCAGACUAGAGGCAGGUAGGGGAGAAUGGAAUUCCCGGUGUAGCGGUGAAAUGCGCAGAUAUCGGGAGGAACACCGGUGGCGAAGGCGGUUCUCUGGGCCUUACCUGACGCUGAGGAGCGAAAGCGUGGGGAGCGAUCUGG
RNAcentral lists this ribosomal RNA (253 nucleotides) under uncultured bacterium. Its description in RNAcentral is "partial 16S ribosomal RNA". It matches the Rfam family "Bacterial small subunit ribosomal RNA", at positions 524 to 776 of the family's 1533-position model. The record is from RNAcentral.